RNAcentral lists this non-coding RNA (189 nucleotides) under Danio rerio (zebrafish). Its description in RNAcentral is "Eukaryotic large subunit ribosomal RNA". It matches the Rfam family "Eukaryotic large subunit ribosomal RNA", at positions 2768 to 2988 of the family's 3401-position model. The record is from Rfam by way of RNAcentral. Lineage: Eukaryota; Metazoa; Chordata; Actinopteri; Cypriniformes; Danionidae.
AAGAUCCUUCUGGUUUAAAUCAGGUGUCAGAAAAGUUGCCACAGGGAUGACUGGCUUGGAAUAGCCAAGUGUUUAUAGCAACGCCACUGUUUGAUCCUUCGAUGUCGGCUCUUCCUAUCAGUGUGAAGCAGAAUUCACCAAGUGUUAUACUGUUCAUCCAUUGGAAGCUGGGUUUAGACUGGGUUAGUU